Non-coding RNA from Styela clava, 252 nucleotides. The record is from RefSeq and is a predicted model, not a curated record. NCBI's taxonomy places the organism in Eukaryota, Metazoa, Chordata, Ascidiacea, Stolidobranchia, Styelidae.
GACCCCCAAAGACAAUAUUUAAAAAUGAAUCAAGUCUGUCACCCGUUAAGGAAGAGGAUCAUGAUGAAUCCUCAGAAAAGCAAACUUCUUACAAAAUUGCACUCGAUGCCAGUGGCACUUUAGCCUUUGAAACUUUGAAGACAAAAAGUCAAUCUGGGAAAUUAAAUAGAGCAGUAUCUACACCUUGUUUGGCUGCGUCACCGCGAAAAGAUGGAAGAAAAUCUAGGUGGAAUAGAGGUGAGGAAGAAGAUU